UACGAAUUCGGGGGUUAUAUAACCCAAAUGCAUUUGAGUUUUGCUUAGGUUUAUUGAUCACUGUGAACUGAAGGGGAAGUUGGUUCACAUCGAGGAAUACGGAUGAGAACGUGGACGACUGGUGAGUGACCGAGAGAAAUAAGAGAUCGAGUCAGGGCGUUCAGGCUAUUUAAAGGGGAUUUAGAUACUCCUACAUCUGGUGAGCCUUCCCGGAAUAUAAAGUACAAAACAUCAUAAAAGUGUACAUCCAUAUAAGGUACUUCUACAUCUGGUGAGCCUUCCCGGAAUAUAAACUACACAACAUCAUAAAAGAGUACAUCCAAGUAUUAUGGACAUUUCCUCUAAUAAGCGUUACAGUACACAGUAAAAUAUAAUUCUAGGAAUUUUCGUGGGGCAAUACUUCUCAAAAAUUGGAAGCUAAAUGUUCGAGAUCACAGAUGCACUGUAACUCUGUUUGGUGAAAUUUAAAAUAAUAAAUUCAUUGACUAGUUGUUUUGUAUAUUAUUAAAUAAACUAAUUAUUUAUAAAAACACACGUAUUAAAUUCCUUUAAAAGUCAAGAGAAUAUUGUUUUCCCAUUUUUUAUGUGUUUAUCCUUUUUAGGUCUACCCCCUAUGUCGUGCAAAAAAUGCGGCAUGUGUUACCGUCAACCCAUGUCCUACAUGAAGCAUAUCAGUUUGUGUGGAAAGGAGCCCGCUUUUAAAUGUACGCUUUGUUCCUACAAAGGCAAAGAACAAUUUCAUUUACAAACUCACAUGAGAUACAAACACAAAAUUAUAAUUUGAAUGUGAAUAAUAAAAUUAUUUAUCAUUUUAUUUUUAUUAUUUGUUUCUCACCUGCCUCCAUUCUUUUUUAACAUAACAAUAUGUAUAUCCCACCUCUUAAAUAAGUCACUAACAUAAUAUAACUUUUUAGCCUUCUACUGCAUAUGUGGCAACAGAUACAAAUCCAAAACGUCGCUUAAAAGGCACAUCAGAUAUGAUUGUGGUAAGGAACCACUUUUCAAAUGUGCAGAGAAAGACUGCCUAUACAAAGCGUAUCAAAAGGUCCAUCUCAAAAGACAUUUGGAAAAAAUACAUAACAAACCAGCGGAGUCUAAUCAUUUAAUUAACACAGUUAAUAGAUUUAUAAUAGGGAAAUGUACCCUAUAAACUGUAAAGAAUCUAUGAUAUUAACUACAGAUUUGAUUUUUGUUUCUGAUACGUUGGUUAAAAGUGAAGAAAUAAAAACUCUCUGAUGAACAUAUGAGUUGAACUUUUUAGACUUCUACUGCAUAUGUGACAACAGAUACAAAUCCAAAACGUCGCUUAAAAGGCUCAUCAGAUAUGAUUAUGAAAUGGAACCACUUUUCAAAUGUGUAAAGAAAGACAUUUGAAAGGAAUACAUAAGAAAUCAGCUGAGUCUAAUCAUUUAACUAACACAGUUAAUAGAUUUAUGAUUGAGAAAUGUACCCUAUAAACUGCAAAGAAUAAGAAUUUUUUAUGACAUUAAUUUAUAUUACCGGCGACACGACACCAGUCUUUGUUUCUGAUACAUUGGUUGAAAAUGAAGAAGCAAAACUUUCUGAGUAAUAUAUGUGUUGACAAUUUGAACAAUUGUUAAAAUAUACUUUCACUUAACAACCAUAGAGGUAUAAUUAAUUAAAUAAUUCACCAUUUUGGAAGAUAUUUUUUUGGAUCAAUUCAAUAUAGUUUCAAUAUAAUAAAAAACGAAAUAUUUAUUUAUUUAUUGUCGUCCCAAAUGUCGGUAACUCAACUUUUAAUUAAAUAAUAAAUAAUUAUUUACUGACACACAGAACUUCUUUAAUUUAUUUGAGUUAUUGUAAUAAACAAUAUAAAUAAGUGAAAUACAAAUAUUUACAAAGUAAAUGGGCAUUUUUAUUCGAUUUCCCAAACUUACUGUACCUUAUCGUGCUGGCAAUGAUUGUGUAUACUUGAAAUACAUUAUUUUCAGAUGCCACAAAAUGUCCAAGAUGCUGGAAACAGUACAAAAACAUUAAAACUAUGAAAGUGCAUUUGGCAUUUGAUUGCGGAAAAAACAAGCAAUACACAUGUAUGUUGUGCAAUUACAAAUGUAAGCGAAAAUUCAAUCUGAAAGUGCACUCGAAAGUGCACAACAAAAGUCAAGAAUGAUCGAAUAAAUAAAAAUGUCGCAUGGAAAUGUGUUUUAUUAUGCAUGUUUUUGAUAUGUUCGUUUAUGUUGUGUUCGUGUAGGUAUUAUAGUGAAGAAUUGUUAUUCACCGACACUGCCCAAGGUGGAGAUGAAAGUGACCCCGAAUUUUGCAAACCACCAACAAAAAUUUAAAUGUCUGUCGAAAAAUUGUUUUUUCGUGACUGAGUGUAGAGAAGAAUUAAUCAAACAUUUACUGUACCAUUAAGGAAACACUUCGUGACAAGUUGACCAAAGUUUUUCUAGUGUUUGAUAUAAGUAGGUGUAAUAAAUUUUAGUUAUACAAUAGCUUAGGUUUAACUUUUCCAACUCAAUUAUUCUUUUGAACCAUUUAUGCGCGACUGACACAUAUAGAGUUAAUUUUAGGUAUACGAAACUAAAAUAUAGUCAAAAAAUUAAUUAUAAAUUAUGCAUUGUAAAAUUUUAAGCACAUUUCCACUUUGUUAUCUACCUCUCUGUAUAACUGACUGUAAGAAUUGUAUAAAAUGAUUGUGAACUUAGAAACUGAAUGUUGCAUGUGUUCAUUGUAAUUGACUAGUGAUUGUCAUCGAGUGCAAUAACGUGGUACCUAAUUUUAUCAUACACUUAUAAUAAGAGGAACAAUUACUUUGUAUUAAAUGCACUUUUAUUGUUUCUGCAUCAAGUAGAAUUUACAAUAAUUAUAGGCUUGAUAAUAAAUUAAACAUGUACAUACUUUUUGAUUGUGAUGAAUGUCAAAACAAUGAGUUUUAUAAUAAAUGUAUUUUUAAUA
Aethina tumida (small hive beetle) is the source of this 2919-nucleotide long non-coding RNA. RefSeq lists it as uncharacterized. Lineage: Eukaryota; Metazoa; Arthropoda; Insecta; Coleoptera; Nitidulidae. The transcript has 2 exons. The record is from RefSeq and is a predicted model, not a curated record.